GUGAGAUUUGCCCCAUAGACUAUAAAAUCCGAAACACCAUUUUCUUUUUUCAUUAGUUCUUCAACAAUUCUAGUCUCAUCUACGGUCUUUUCGCCUAUCAACUCUGUCAGUUCUGAAGUAUCAACAUCUGAAACUUUAAUGUCAUUUGCUUCAACUGUGCUGAUAGUCACUUGAUUGUUGCUUGACACGGCUUCAGUUGUUUCACUGUCAUGGUCUCCACGUAUAAUGGUCACAAUCGCGGGCUCUGAUGAAUAUUCUCCCCUUACCUUAGCCAACAUUUUCCACAAUGUAGCACAAAUAACAUCAAAAGGCUUCACCUUAUUAUAAGUUCCACAAACAUUGGAAACUAGUUGGUUUAGUUGAUUUUGU
Molecule: unclassified non-coding RNA, 369 nt
Filed under: Hevea brasiliensis (rubber tree)
Lineage: Eukaryota; Viridiplantae; Streptophyta; Magnoliopsida; Malpighiales; Euphorbiaceae
Source: RNAcentral